GUGCUGGCUCCAGCAGCACCUAUACUAAAAUUACAAUGAUACAGAGAAGAUCAACAUGGCUCCUGUGCAAGGAUGACAUGAAAAUUCAUGAAGCAUUCCACAUAAAA
Canis lupus familiaris (dog) is the source of this 107-nucleotide non-coding RNA. NCBI's taxonomy places the organism in Eukaryota, Metazoa, Chordata, Mammalia, Carnivora, Canidae. The record is from Rfam.